CAAAGUAUGUUAUGUUGAAAUUCCAUUAUCCAAAUAUUAAAAACAAAUUUGUGAUACAAUAAUACAUGUGCUUCUACUAACACAUUUACCUAACAAGAUUCAUGGCUGAGUCUGAUAACCAUCAUAGUUUUAAAAUAUUGCUGAUCAAAAAUGUUAUUUCCAGAUAUCUGCAAUAAUUACAUGCGUGAUGACUGUAUCUAUGAUUUACAGCGGGGACAAAGUCAUGGGUGUUGCUGAUACUAUGCAGUUUAUUCCUCUAGCCGUAAUGGAAGCACACCCUGCAUGUCAGCCAAAGGCUCUCUGGAGAUCUUUACUUGUCAUUUUAUGUAUUAAUUGACACCUCCUGAAAUUCCUUGGAAACUUAGAAACUGAAUUUGCAGCUCUUCAUGUUAUCACUGCCAGCCCCCUUUGAGGAAAUGCAUAUUCAAAGGGCACACAAACAAGUCAAGGUCGUGGAGCACAGUUCGAGGCCCUGACUUCUGCUGAGCUCCACAUCUCUGGUCCUGCAUUCUGGCCUGGCAGAUGCGGCUACAGAGGGGCAGGGAGCCAUGGGACCUGGCCUGGCCACCACUUGAGACAGCCGAGCAGUGGUGUCACUGGAAUACAAAGAACAGAUUUCUGUUCCAGCCUCUGAUGACAGACGCUCAAACAGGAAAUAAUCAGAGGAAGAAAGGACAAACCUAUCUCAUCAGGAGACAGAAGAGACAAUAGACUUCCAGGAAAGGAACAUGCCUUUGCUUUGUAGAUGGGCCAUGGAACGAAAGACUGUUUGCCAAUCCCUUGUUUCAGAAGCUGGUGUUGAAAGUCUCCUCUUUGCUUCCAGCUUGUCUUAUUUGACAGAUUCUUCCCCCACACCCUGGUUUUAAGGACAUUUUAAGGUCUUCUGAAGGGCUUCCUUACAACGUCUUCUCUACGUUCUUUUUAUGUUUUGAAUAAUUUGAUCUUGUUUUUAGUAUCAAUUACUGACACUGACUUCUAGUCUUAGCUUUAUAAUUAGAAAACUGUGACAUUAACACAAAUUUUCAAGGGCUCGGUUUUAGUAUCUGAAGAAGACAUUUUUCCUACUGAUUCAAAUACAGCUUUUAAUAAAUAAAAGAAAAAGAAGGAAUA
This is a long non-coding RNA of Mustela lutreola (European mink), 1110 nucleotides long. RefSeq lists it as uncharacterized. The transcript has 2 exons. Lineage: Eukaryota; Metazoa; Chordata; Mammalia; Carnivora; Mustelidae. The record is from RefSeq and is a predicted model, not a curated record.